GGAAUUCGAUUCGGUGUGACAAGGCCCGGGAACGUAUUCACCGCGGCGUGCUGAUCCGCGAUUACUAGCGAUUCCAACUUCAUGCAGGCGAGUUGCAGCCUGCAAUCCGAACUGAGACCGGUUUUCUCCGAUUAGCUCCCUCUUGCGAGAUCGCGACGGUUUGUACCGGCCAUUGUAGCACGUGUGUAGCCCCAGACAUAAAGGCCAUGCUGACUUGACGUCAUCCCCACCUUCCUCCGGUUUAUCACCGGCAGUCUCCGCAGAGUGCCCAGCGUAACCUGAUGGCAACAGCGGACAAGGGUUGCGCUCGUUGCGGGACUUAACCCAACAUCUCACGACACGAGCUGACGACAGCCAUGCAGCACCUCUACGAGCGUCCUUGCGGAAGCCUACUUUCGUAGGAUGUCACUCGCAGUUCAAGCCUGGGUAAGGUUCUUCGCGUUAAUCACUA
RNAcentral lists this ribosomal RNA (451 nucleotides) under uncultured soil bacterium. RNAcentral describes it as "partial 16S ribosomal RNA". The record is from RNAcentral.